CUCCUCAAUUAAUUUUUAUUUUUAACCAUCAAAACCUAUCAAAGUAUUUGAAAUAUAUGAUUGAAUAGGAUAAAGAGUUUAAUUUUGUAACCAUCGUUGAAGUUUCAUAAUGAAUACAAGUUUUAUUUUAUGUCCUCGGGUUAGUCAAUUACAUUAAAAGUUGGUUGAAUGGAGCAAAAUCAUUAAAAUGUUUCCCCCCUAGAAAGAUAAAUCAAGCAAUAUGCAUGGUUAUGAACAUAAUAAUCUCAAAAGAAAGAUGGUAGAUGAAAAGAAAUUUGUUGUGCAGUGUCAUAGAUGAUUCAAAUGGAGGUACAUACCAACAAAGGAGAGGUAUGAAAAAUUAACAGCACAUUUAUUAGAUCAUCCCUUCUUAUAUGAAGGCUCUCAUUAGAGACAUCUAUAUAUGAUUGGACGAUACACAUGAGAUCACUCAAAAAGAAAGAAAAUUGUGGGCUUUUGAUAAGCCCAGUAUUCCACAAUUAGGUUUCAAGUUGAAUGACAUCAUGUGUAAUAUCAGAUGAUAUAUUAGAACGCCACUCAUGAGUGUCUUCACAACAAAAGGUUUGCAGGUUCAAUAUCAUGCAUAUUAUUUUGGUCUAUCUUUCUAGGAGUGAAAACUCCUAUGACCAAACUCUUAUUGCAAUUAAUCAACCCGAGGACAAAAAAUAUAAUUUGUAUUCAAUAGGAAAUUCCGCCGACAAUUAAAAGUGACACAACAUAAAAAAGUCUAUUAUCCUAUUUAAUCAUAUAUCUUGAUAAAAUAAAUGUGUUUAUAAUAAAAGUAGAACCGAUAUAUAAAUAUAUUAUAAGAGUUUAUAACGUAGCAUUAGCUAAAAGAUCUCAUAGCUCCUAAAUCCUAACAGAUCCCAUAGCUCCUAAAUUCUAACACAUCCUGUAGCUCCUAAAUUCAGACAGAUUUCUACAAAAUUUAAGAAUUCAUAAUAAAUCUAACCAUUUCUCUUGGCAGUGAACUACACAGUACCACCAAAGCUUCAGAUCUAUCUCCUCCAGAACAAAUUUAAAACUAUAAUAAUUUGGAUGUCUCUGUUAUGGACAUAAACCAACAAAAAUAGAAUGAAGACUUGUAAAGAUAUAGAAGCUUAAUGUAGUAGUUUAAUCAUGAAAGUGUACAUAGGUGUGAUAAGAUAUCAAAAUUUAAGACUUUCAUGAUACUACUUGUGCAUAUCAGAACAUGUCCAAAAUGAAAUCCAAACUCUAGUAUUUUAAGGACAAACUUAGGGUUAGAGUUACUUGAACCGGAAUUGAAUGUAUCUAUUUGAAUUUUGAAUAAAAGUUGUUCGAAUAUCUAAAAAUCGAUUCUUCAUAUAAGAGAAACAAAAUCUCAAAAAAAAAUAAUCAUUUUCAUCUUGUCUUUAUUGGCCAGUUCAAAACAAAAGAUAGAGGAUCAUAGCAACACAUUUUUGCAUAAAAAUAAUCAUGUAUAGCCCUGCCAAUACUGAGAUAGGGGUGACCAUAUUUCAAAGAAGACAGGGAGAGAUGGAGUGUAGCGGCUGAUGAGAAGUAGGUUUUAGGAGGUUUUGUUUUGAGAAAUCUAAUAUAACCUAAUACUAAAGGGCUUCUAGGUAUUGGAAUUAACUUUGGACAACUUUUGGGCUGCGUUUUGGAACAAAGAAGAUGAGCCAAUUGACCGAAUAGUUUAAAACUUUUUUGGUCAAAUUUUGUCAUUUUUUUCCUUUAUGUUAAUUAAUUUGAGCUUCUAAUUUAGUACCUUUUAUAUUAUAUAAAAUGUUUCAAAUGUACGAAAUUUGAAAUAAAGCAACAAUGAUCUUUAUAAAGAAAAAAACAAUAGGUAAUAAUAGUAAUGUUGAGAAUGAAAAAUAUAAUUUAAAAUUAAUGAAAAUAAUGAUAAAAUGAUGAUAAUUAUAAAAAUUAUAAAGUUAGAGUAACAACUAUGUGCAAUGGAGGCUUUAUUUAAGAUCACAAACAUAUAUAAUAACAUAAUAAUGUAAAUUGCACUACUCUAUUUGAUUUUAAUGUUUACCACUACACAAAUCAAACUUUUGAAAUAUAUGAUAGAAUAGGAUAAAGAUUUUUAUUUUAUAAAUAUCGUUAAAGUUUCAUAAUGAAUACAAGUACUUUAUGUCCUUGGGUUGGUCAAUUACACUAACAGUUGGCUGGAUGGAGCAAAAUCAUAUACAUAUUUCCUCCCCCUAGAAAGAUACAUCAAAACAAUAUGCAUGAUUAUAAACCUGCUAAACUCAAAAGUAAGAUGGUAAAUGAAAAGGAAUUUGUUAAGAAGUGUGUUAGAUGAUUCUAAUGGAGGUACAUACCUACAAAGGAGAGGUAUGAAAAAAUAACAACACAUAUAUUGGAACAUCUCUUCUUAUAUGAAAGCUCUAAUGAGCGACAUCUAUAUAUGAUUGGACGAUACACAUGAUGUUUCUCAAAAAUAAAGAAAAUUGUGGGCUUUUAAUAAGCCCAAUAUUCCACAUUUAUCUUUCAAGUUGAAUGACAUCAUGUGUCUCAUCACAUGAUAUAUUAGCACGACAUUUAUCAGUUUCUCCAAAACAUAAGGAUGUUCUAGCAUGUGUACACUUAUCUUUUCAUAUAUCACCUUUAUAGGUACGCAACCUCAUUUGAAACAUCUAUCACACAACACAAUGAAUUCCUCUUAAUCUACCAUUUUUUUGUAGGUUUGCAGGUUCAAUAUCAUGCAUAUUAAUUUGGUCUAUAUUUCUAAGGCUGAAGACUCCAUUCACCAAACUCUUAUUCUAAUAAAUCAACCCGGGGACAAAAAAUAUAAUUUGUAUUCAUUAGGGAACUCCACUGAAAACUGAAAAAGACACAACAUAAAAAAGUCAACUAUCCUAUUUAAUAAUAUAUCUCUAUAAAAUUAUAUGUGUUUAUAAUAAAAGUAGAAUCGAUAUAUACAUAUAUUAUAAGAGUUUAUAACGUCACAUUAGCUAAUAGAUCUCAUAGCUUCUAUAUUCUAACAGAUCCCGUAGAACCUAAAUUCAGAUAGAUUUUUACAAAAAGUUAAGAAUUCGUAAUAAAUUUAACUUUUUUUAUUGGGAGUGAACUAGGCAGUACCAGCAAAGCUUCGGAACUAUUUCCUCAAGAACAGAUUUUGAACCAUACUAAAUCUAAAUGUCUCUUUUAUGGACACAAAUCAACAAAAACUAAAUGAAGACCUAUAAAGAUAUAGAAGCUUAAAGUAGUCGUUAAUGAUGAAAGUGUACGUCGUGUGUGAUAAGAUAUCAAAAUUUAAGACUUUCAUGAUACUACUUGUGCAUAUAAGAACAUGCCUUAAAUGAAAUCCAAACUCUAGUAUUUAAUGGAGAAACUUAGGGUUAGAUUUCCUCGAGCGGGAUUCGAAAAUAUCUAUCUAAAUUUUGAAUAAAACAUGUUUGAAUAUCUGAAAAUUGAUUCUUCUUAUUAGAGUAACAAAAUCUCAAGAAAAUUCAUUUUCAUCUUGUCUUCAUUGUCCAGUUUAAAACGAAAGAUAGAGGAUCAUAGCAACACAUUUUUGCAUAAAAAUAAUCAUGCAUAGCUUUGCCAAAUUUGAGAUAGGGGUGGACAUUUCACAUCCAGAAACUACAACCUAGAAUUUAGGGUUCAAUCUUUUAUUGCAACUGCGUAUUUGACCUCUCGGACGUCUCAUACAAGCCCAUCAUAUCAUUCAUCGCAUAAACAUAAUGAAAAGUAGUGCGAAUUAAGACUUUUCAUAAAAACGAUAUAGAAGUCUUAAACUCUUUCAUUUAUGUAGAAAUAGGAAAACACUAAGUCUCGAUUCAUCAUCUUAAGACACGACAAUACUUGGGACACGACCC
Molecule: long non-coding RNA, 3791 nt
Filed under: Solanum lycopersicum (tomato)
Lineage: Eukaryota; Viridiplantae; Streptophyta; Magnoliopsida; Solanales; Solanaceae
Description: partial TCONS_00111785
Source: RNAcentral